AGCACCACAACAGGUGGAGCCUGCGGUUUAAUCGGACUCAACGCCGGGAAACUCACCAGAUAAGACAGCUGAAUGAUAGUCGGGCUGAAGACUCUACUUGACUAGCUGAGAGGAGGUGCAUGGCCGUCGUCAGUUCGUACUGUGAAGCAUCCUGUUAAGUCAGGCAACAAGCGAGACCCACGCCAACAGUUGCCAGCUCGUCCUCCGGGAUGGUGGGGACACUGUUGGGACCGCCUCUGCUAAAGAGGAGGAAGGAAUGGGCAACGGUAGGUCAGCAUGCCCCGAAUUAUCUGGGCUACACGCGGGCUACAAUGGGUGGGACAAUGGGUAUCGACACCGAAAGGUGAAGGCAAUCUCCUAAACCCAUCCGUAGUUCGGAUUGUGGGCUGCAACUCGCCCACAUGAGGCUGGAAUCUGUAGUAAUCGUGUCUCAAAAUGGCACGGUGAAUAUGUCCCUGCUCCUU
This 464-nucleotide ribosomal RNA is filed under the name uncultured Methanomicrobiales archaeon. RNAcentral describes it as "bacterial SSU rRNA". It matches the Rfam family "Archaeal small subunit ribosomal RNA", at positions 875 to 1338 of the family's 1478-position model. Lineage: Archaea; Methanobacteriati; Methanobacteriota; Methanomicrobia; Methanomicrobiales. The record is from RNAcentral.